This 1502-nucleotide ribosomal RNA is filed under the name metagenome. RNAcentral describes it as "bacterial SSU rRNA". It matches the Rfam family "Bacterial small subunit ribosomal RNA". The record is from RNAcentral.
GAUCAUGGCUCAGAACGAACGCUGGCGGCGCGCCUAACACAUGCAAGUCGAACGGGGUACUUAGCGUGGAUCACUUCGGUGUGAAGCACUUUGUUACCUAGUGGCGGACGGGUGAGUAACACAUAGGUAACCUGCCCUUAGGAUUGGGAUACUCCCGGGAAACCGGGCACAAUACCGAAUAUCAUUGCAAGAUUAUGUUUUGUAAUGAAAGCUGCGAGCAAUCGUGGCGCCUAAGGAUGGGCCUGUGGCCUAUCAGCUUGUUGGUGAGGUAAUGGCUCACCAAGGCUAAGACGGGUAGCCGGACUGAGAGGUCGAUCGGCCACACUGGAACUGAGACACGGUCCAGACUCCUACGGGAGGCAGCAGUGGGGAAUUUUGCGCAAUGGGCGAAAGCCUGACGCAGCGACGCCGCGUGGGGGAAGAAGGCCUUCGGGUUGUAAACUCCUUUAGUACGGGAAGAAGCCUUCGGGUGACGGUACCGUAAGAAUAAGCCACGGCUAACUCUGUGCCAGCAGCCGCGGUAAUACAGAGGUGGCAAGCGUUGUUCGGAUUUACUGGGCUUAAAGGGCGUGUAGGCGUCCCAACAAGUCAGAUGUGGAAGCCCUGGGCUUAACCCAGGAAGUGCAUUUGAAACUGUCGGGAUUGAGUCGUGCACGGAGGGCGGAAUUCCUGGUGUAGCGGUGAAAUGCGUAGAUAUCAGGAGGAAGGCCGGUGGUGAAGACGGCCCUCUAGGCAAUGACUGACGCUGAGGCGCGAAAGCGUGGGUAGCAAACAGGAUUAGAUACCCUGGUAGUCCACGCCCUAAACGGUGCGUACUAGGUGUGGGUGGCGAUAGUCAUCCGUGCCGAAGGGAAACCAUUAAGUACGCCGCCUGGGGAGUACGGCCGCAAGGUUGAAACUCAAAUGAAUUGACGGGGGCCCGCACAAGCGGUGGAGCAUGUGGUUUAAUUCGACGCUACGCGCAGAACCUUACCUAGGCUUGACAUGUUAGUGGUAGGAACCCGAAAGGGUGACGACCUAUUCUUCGGAAUAGGAGCUUUCACAGGUGCUGCAUGGCUGUCGUCAGCUCGUGCCGUGAGGUGUUGGGUUAAGUCCCGCAACGAGCCCAACCCUCAUCAUCUGUUGCCCUUAACGGGGCUCUCUGAUGAAACUGCCGGCGAAGAGCCGGAGGAAGGUGGGGAUGACGUCAAGUCCGCAUGGCCCUUAUGCCUAGGGCUACACACGUGCUACAAUGGCAGAUACAAAGGGUGGCCAAGCCGCGAGGUGGAGCCAAUCUCAUAAAGUCUGUCCAAGUUGGGAUCGGAGUCUGCAAUUCGACUCCGUGAACCUGGAAUCGCUAGUAAUCGUGGAUCAGCACGCCACGGUGAAUACGUUCCCGGGCCUUGUACACACCGCCCGUCACACCACGAAAGUCUGCUGUACCCGAAGUAGGUGAGCCAACCAGCAAUGGAGGCAGCUUCCUAAGGUAUGGCCGGUAAUUGGGGUGAAGUCGGAACAAGGUA